GACCAAGGAGUCUGACAUGUGUG
RNAcentral lists this small nuclear RNA (23 nucleotides) under Arabidopsis thaliana (thale cress). RNAcentral describes it as "snRNA_11178". The record is from RNAcentral. Lineage: Eukaryota; Viridiplantae; Streptophyta; Magnoliopsida; Brassicales; Brassicaceae.